UACAGAGGUGGCAAGCGUUGUUCGGAAUUACUGGGCGUAAAGGGCGCGUAGGCGGCUUGGUCAGUCCCGUGUGAAAUCCCUCAGCUCAACUGAGGAACUGCACGGGAAACUGCCUGGCUUGAGUUCGGGAGAGGGAAGCGGAAUUCCGGGUGUAGCGGUGAAAUGCGUAGAUAUCCGGAGGAACACCGGUGGCGAAGGCGGCUUCCUGGACCGACACUGACGCUGAGGCGCGAAAGCUAGGGGAGCAAACGGG
RNAcentral lists this ribosomal RNA (253 nucleotides) under uncultured bacterium. RNAcentral describes it as "partial 16S ribosomal RNA". It matches the Rfam family "Bacterial small subunit ribosomal RNA", at positions 524 to 776 of the family's 1533-position model. The record is from RNAcentral.